This 332-nucleotide ribosomal RNA is filed under the name uncultured eukaryote. Its description in RNAcentral is "partial 18S ribosomal RNA". It matches the Rfam family "Eukaryotic small subunit ribosomal RNA", at positions 1470 to 1796 of the family's 1831-position model. The record is from RNAcentral.
CCCUUAGAUGUCCGGGGCUGCACGCGCGCUACACUGGAAGUUACGGAUUGAGAUACUACCUUGUCCGAAAUGGUCCGGGUAAUCACCUAAAAGCUUGUCAUAAUUGGAAUGGAUUAUUGUAACUAGUAAUCCUGAACGAGGAAUUCCUAGUAAGUCCCAGUCAACAGCUGGUACUGAUUACGUCCCUGCCCUUUGUACACACCGCCCGUCGCUACUACUGAUUGGACGUUUAAGCAAGAUUUUUAAACACUGACAGUGUGUAGUUCACGCUAUACUACAGUGAGAAGAAGAAGAUCGAGCUUACUUGUCUAGAGGAAGUAAAAGUCGUAACA